GGCAGGGUAGCUCAAUUGGUUAGAGCACAGCAUUCAUAACGCUGAGGUCGCGGGUUCAAGUCCCGCCCCUGCUA
RNAcentral lists this transfer RNA (74 nucleotides) under Candidatus Shapirobacteria bacterium RIFOXYD1_FULL_38_32. Its description in RNAcentral is "tRNA-Met". It matches the Rfam family "tRNA". From Rfam's summary of the family: Transfer RNA (tRNA) molecules are approximately 80 nucleotides in length. Their secondary structure includes four short double-helical elements and three loops (D, anti-codon, and T loops). The record is from RNAcentral. RNAcentral also lists the same sequence under 1 other name. Lineage: Bacteria; Candidatus Shapironibacteriota.